This 412-nucleotide ribosomal RNA is filed under the name bacterium enrichment culture clone ALO1_GLFRUDD03F05QC. RNAcentral's name for it is "bacterial SSU rRNA". It matches the Rfam family "Bacterial small subunit ribosomal RNA", at positions 9 to 420 of the family's 1533-position model. RNAcentral also lists the same sequence under 2 other names. The record is from RNAcentral.
GAGUUUGAUCGUGGCUCAGAUUGAACGCUGGCGGCAUGCCUUACACAUGCAAGUCGAACGGCAGCACGGGAGCUUGCUCCUGGUGGCGAGUGGCGAACGGGUGAGUAAUGCAUCGGAACGUAUCCUGGAGUGGGGGAUAACGUAGCGAAAGUUACGCUAAUACCGCAUAUUCUGUGAGCAGGAAAGCGGGGGGACCUUCGGGCCUCGCGCUCUUGGAGCGGCCGAUGUCGGAUUAGCUAGUUGGUGAGGUAAAGGCUCACCAAGGCGACGAUCCGUAGCAGGUCUGAGAGGAUGAUCUGCCACACUGGAACUGAGACACGGUCCAGACUCCUACGGGAGGCAGCAGUGGGGAAUUUUGGACAAUGGGGGCAACCCUGAUCCAGCCAUGCCGCGUGAGUGAAGAAGGCCUCGG